ACCUAAUCCCUCAUUCUUCCUCUCAGUUUAUCCAUCCUCCUAAGCGUGGUUAGGGUUUCUCAUUUCUUCCGCUCCACUCUACAUCACAGCCGACCUGUUCUUCUCUGUCUUCUUCGAUCUUCAUCUCGACGGAUCGAAGAUUGAAGAUUCAGCUUUUUUUCCAUUAAUCGCCGGUUCCAUUUGAAUCCUAAAACUUAUGUGUUUUUGUGGAUACGGCAUAAGGCGGCGAUAGAGCAUGUGUUUCAUUAUAUGAUCGUCACUGAAGGGGUGAAGGGUUUGUGACUGCAGGAACCCAAUUUUUUCGUGAAUGAAUUUUUUUUUUGCAGUCAAUCAAAAUAUCACGGAAUUCUUUACGACUACUGUGAAAGCAAUGGAUUGGUGAUUAUGAACUUUGGAUAUGGUGAAAGCCCUGCUGGAACGAUAAAUGGGCCUGCUCAUCAAAUAUUCUUCUAGGCUGGUGUGGACAAUAUCUACCUUCUAGAAGCCGCUGAUAAAUUCAUCCAGCACCAACCAAAGGAGAUGUGGUGUUUUAAAUAUAAUGGAUAAAAAGUUGGUUAAUUAUUUACAUGAUCCGUCAUACGAACUUUUACUAAAUGCUACCUUUGUCGUAUUUGUUGUAUACAUGGCAGGUUAUUGGUGAGUCAGCUGGGUCAAUGUUGACUGUGGCUAAAGUUUUCGAUACGUUUCUGGUUAUUGCCAAGUAAUCUGGAAAGGAUAGUCAAGAUAAGAAGAAGAAUCACAUCAAGGGACUUCUUGUUGCAGCAACCGACUGCGAACCCCAAUAUUUAAUCCGCCUGCUUGAGACAAAAUUGAGAAUCGGUUUAGCAGAGCAAACUCUCUUGACAGCUCUGGGUCAUGCCUUUUUCUAUACUGAAAAACACCCAUCACCACCAGCUCGCACCAAUUCACCUCUAGAAGACGCUGUGCUAAGAUUGUGAAACAAGUGUAUGAUCGUAAUUCCCGUAGAUGACAAAAUUGUCCCUGCUCUUCUUUCUGGGGGUGUUUGGGAUUUGCCCGAAACGUGUUGUUUUUCACCUGGUAUUCCAGUUGGACCUAUGCUAGCUAAGCCUACUAAAGGUGUAUCUGAGAUUUUAGAUAGAUUUCAGAAAAUGGAGUUCACUUGUGAACAUAAAUAUGACGGUGAAUGGGCCCAGAUACAUUAUUUAGAGGAUGGCGCGGUUCAAAUAUACAGCAGAAAUGCUGAAAGAAACACCCAGAAGUUUCCGGAUGUUGUUGCUGCUUCAAGUAUGAUGUAGGUGGUUGUUUGCAUAAUGCAUUAAAGGCGGACUUACGAGUUCAACCAGUUUGACCAUGUGUGCAAUCUCUGGUGCUACAAUAAGAACUUAUUUGCUAGAAAGAUCACGCGUCUGUAGAAUUUAUCAUUGUUUUUUACAUUUUAUGUGUUGCACCACCCGAGGAGUCUGAAACGUAGAAAGUUGGAAGUUCAAGAAAGUUUCAUUAUUAUGAACUGAACGGAGUGGACGAUUAUAAGAGUAACUUGCUACAAAGAAAGCUAUGGGUGUUGUUGGAACCAACUCUGAUGAACAGGUGCUCACAAAAUGGUCACAAACAGCCACACUGUUCGUCUCCGUCUUCGAAUCUUUAAUCUUCAUCUCAACGGUAUGUUUUACGUCACCACGUCUCCAUCUUCUAAGGUAUGUUUUUGGUUCAAACACUCAGACCCACAUCAUUUGAUUUUGUUUAUUCUACGCCACCACAUUUGGUUUUUUAAACAUUCUUCUUAAUUUAAAUUAUUUUGCAAAGUGAGAUUAUUAAUAAAAUUGUAUUUUAUAUAAUUGAUACACUUUGUUAUGAAAAGAAAAUUUGAUAAAAAGUGUUUUAGGGCAAUCUGACUAUAUCAAAAAGUUAUAUAAUUUGACCUAUCCACCUCUUUUGCCAUCUUUAACACCAACCAUUUGGCCACAUAUCUUAAUGGCGGGUUAGCUUAAAAAUAAUAUAAAAUUUGUUUUCCUACAUUUUAUAUUGUAGAUCAAGUUUUCUACCCUUGACUUGGAGCUUUAUGGUAAGUAUAUUCGUGGUGGAUCAAAAUCUCUUUAUGAUAUUGAUCAAAGGUUUGGUAAAAGAAUGAAUGUGCUUCCUACACUUCCAUAGGAUCGGUUCGUUUGUGGUUUCAGCCAUAAUUGUUGGUUCUUUAUAAUGUUUGUUUUCAUUUGAUCUUAUAUCAGUGAUGAAUAGUCCUUGUGUAUGCUUAUUUGUACGUUCUUAAUUCUUUGUAGUGAUGGUCAAAAACAUGUGGAUAUGCUGCUGGUUAGUACAACUAUAAGCUACUCUUCCUCCGAUUCGGCAGAUCAUUCGAUUAUGUCCUUCGACUCGGUCCUAAAAUAAGUUUCAGGUUUUUUUUUGUUGGACAACUUUUUUAUAAAGCUACCAGUUUUGUUCGUUCUUGUGGAUUUGUUCAAUCACUUAUGAAAAUGCCUUGGCAGGAUUGUCCCCAAUUGAUACUGUUCAAAAAGUUAGUGGUAGACUAAAUUCUCUUCACCCAAAGGACAUUCAUGUAUGAACAUUAAGCACACUACAAACUUGCACAAAAAGAACAAGCUGAGAGAAAUGAGACAAUUAUUCUUUAUAUUGACAGAGAUCAUAAUCACAAGUGCCUUGAAAACAUAUAGAAAAGCUACUCUUUUUGUUCAUCCCAACAAACUGUACCAACAGGGGCAACCGUUCAGCAAAAAUAUAUAUGUGAAAAGGUUUCCGAUGUUUUAAAGAAAGAAUGAUGAUGAUGGAAUUGAUGAGAAAAAGAUUAUGAAUUGCAAAAGUGUUUUGAAUAAGAAAAGAAAGUAUGCACAGUUUCAUUUGGAUUUGGGUCAGUCUGAUUUUAUGUUUAGAAAUUGUAAGAUUUGUGGGAUGAAGUUUGUGCCUGGAGAUGAAGAUGAUGAGAGGCUGCAUAAAGAGUUUCAUAAGAGUUAUACUCAUGGUAUUGGCUUGAAGGGUUGGUGUAAAGAAAGAGUGCUUGAUACACACUCGUCACAAAAUGGGCGUGUUAUUUUAGUACAGAACGAUUAUCCUCCUGCUCAUAUUAAAAAGGUUGAGGAGGUUAUUAAGAUGAUGGAGAUGGAACUUGGUGAUGGAUGGAUCUUUCAUAAAGACUGUAAGGCUGUAAACAUGGGCCACGCCCACGGCUCGUAAACUUAAGUGUGAUCCACAGCAGCCCAAUUCCCAAUGCGGAUUCUAUAUCAGAUCAACUGACGACGCUUACGGUUCGUAACCUCGGUCGAAUACGGGUCAGAUAUGGUGAAAGGAGAGAGUAUCAGGCACGAUGGCGAGUGGCUAGGAUGUGGCGGAGUAAUGGCGGUGUUUCCGUCGAGUGCUUGGUUGGGAUUCACUAAACAGAAGACAAGGCGGCUUAUGGUAGAUCGGUUCGGUCACACAAGCAGCCGUACAAUAAGCGCCAGUUGUGGUCCCAUAUCAAGCAAUCAAUACUGGUUCCGGCCAUAUAAGGGUUCCGGCCGUUAUCCGGUCACCAACUUUCAUCUUGGAUGGUUGAUUGGGCGGCUCUUGGAGGUGAUUGAGUUAGUUGUGAAAUGCGUCUUUUAUGCAAAAUAUUUGCUUGAGUUAUGGACCGAUGGCGAUAUAGAUAGGUUUAAGAAAAACAACGAAAAUGUUAUAGAUUUAGAAAGGGUUGAGGUUUUUUUUGAAUGGCAGGGUGUACUAGAUUUUUUAGUACUGGAUAUGAUUUUGAUUAUUUUUGGAAGGUUUAAGAGGUUUACUCAGAUCAAUUUCAUAAGACAGAGGAACUAUAUGUGAACGAUUUGCCUGAGCUUUUGAUUGACUGCAA
This is a long non-coding RNA of Helianthus annuus (common sunflower), 3796 nucleotides long. RefSeq lists it as uncharacterized. The transcript has 19 exons. The record is from RefSeq and is a predicted model, not a curated record. NCBI's taxonomy places the organism in Eukaryota, Viridiplantae, Streptophyta, Magnoliopsida, Asterales, Asteraceae.